ACUCCUACGGGAGGCAGCAGUGGGGAAUAUUGGACAAUGGGCGCAAGCCUGAUCCAGCCAUGCCGCGUGAGUGAUGAAGGCCCUAGGGUUGUAAAGCUCUUUCACCGGUGAAGAUAAUGACGGUAACCGGAGAAGAAGCCCCGGCUAACUUCGUGCCAGCAGCCGCGGUAAUACGAAGGGGGCUAGCGUUGUUCGGAUUUACUGGGCGUAAAGCGCACGUAGGCGGACUAUUAAGUCAGGGGUGAAAUCCCGGGGCUCAACCCCGGAACUGCCUUUGAUACUGGUAGUCUUGAGUUCGAGAGAGGUGAGUGGAAUUCCGAGUGUAGAGGUGAAAUUCGUAGAUAUUCGGAGGAACACCAGUGGCGAAGGCGGCUCACUGGCUCGAUACUGACGCUGAGGUGCGAAAGCGUGGGGAGCAAACAGGAUUAGAAACCCCGGUAGUCCCAUG
This 448-nucleotide ribosomal RNA is filed under the name uncultured organism. Its description in RNAcentral is "partial 16S ribosomal RNA". It matches the Rfam family "Bacterial small subunit ribosomal RNA", at positions 335 to 799 of the family's 1533-position model. The record is from RNAcentral.